CCUACGGGUGGCAGCAGUGGGGAAUCUUCCGCAAUGGGCGAAAGCCUGACGGAGCAACGCCGCGUGAUCGAAUGAAGGCCUUCGGGUUGUAAAGCUCUGUUGACAGGGACGAAUAAGCAAUGCGAAUAGUUUUGUGUAUGACGGUACCUGUUUAGACAGCUCCGGCUAACUACGUGCCAGCAGCCGCGGUAAUACGUAGGGAGCAAGCGUUGUCCGGAAUUACUGGGCGUAAGGGGCGCGUAGGUGGGCGCUUAAGUCAGUUGUGAAAACUCCGGGCUCAACCUGGAGACUGCACUUGAAACUGGGUGCCUUGAGGGCAUGUGAGGAAGGUGGAAUUCCUAGUGUAGCGGUGAAAUGCGUAGAUAUUAGGAGGAACACCAGUUGCGAAGGCGACUUUCUGGGCUAUACCUGACGCUGAGGCGCGAAAGCGUGGGUAGCGAACGGGAUUAGAUACCCGGGUAGUC
RNAcentral lists this ribosomal RNA (464 nucleotides) under uncultured bacterium. Its description in RNAcentral is "partial 16S ribosomal RNA". It matches the Rfam family "Bacterial small subunit ribosomal RNA", at positions 338 to 795 of the family's 1533-position model. The record is from RNAcentral.